This 497-nucleotide ribosomal RNA is filed under the name uncultured bacterium. RNAcentral describes it as "partial 16S ribosomal RNA". It matches the Rfam family "Bacterial small subunit ribosomal RNA", at positions 28 to 507 of the family's 1533-position model. The record is from RNAcentral.
GAUGAACGCUGGCGGCGUGCCUAAUACACGCAAGUCGAGCGAACAGAUAAGGAGCUUGCUCCUUUGACGUUAGCGGCGGACGGGUGAGUAACACGUGGGUAACCUACCUAUAAGACUGGAAUAACUCCGGGAAACCGGGGCUAAUGCCGGAUAACAUUUAGAACCGCAUGGUUCUAAAGUGAAAGAUGGUUUUGCUAUCACUUAUAGAUGGACCCGCGCCGUAUUAGCUAGUUGGUAAGGUAACGGCUUACCAAGGCAACGAUACGUAGCCGACCUGAGAGGGUGAUCGGCCACACUGGAACUGAGACACGGUCCAGACUCCUACGGGAGGCAGCAGUAGGGAAUCUUCCGCAAUGGGCGAAAGCCUGACGGAGCAACGCCGCGUGAGUGAUGAAGGUCUUCGGAUCGUAAAACUCUGUUAUUAGGGAAGAACAAAUGUGUAAGUAACUGUGCACGUCUUGACGGUACCUAAUCAGAAAGCCACGGCUAACUACGUG